Molecule: unclassified non-coding RNA, 2117 nt
Filed under: Zea mays
Lineage: Eukaryota; Viridiplantae; Streptophyta; Magnoliopsida; Poales; Poaceae
Description: misc RNA Zm00001eb190290
Source: RNAcentral
CCUAUUCCUGCGGCCUCGGCCUGUCCGCCUGUAUUUUAGGGGGCCCGUGGGGCGUGGGGGCACGGGCACCCGCACAAGCUGCGCUGCCAGUGCCAGCGCUCACUCGAACGCCGAGACCCGAGAGGAGCAAACAGCCAAAAAGAACGGAAAGGGGAGAGCAAACAGCCAAAAAAGGACGGACUUGCGCGACAGGGUCGAAGACUCAGAAGGGGAAUCUCCGGAGGAUGGAGGUGGGCAGGACUCCGCGGCGACGGGCGUCCCCAGCGGCAGCGGCGGCGGCGGCGGCGGCGGCUGUGCCUUCGCUGCUUCUGUUCGCCGUGCUAUUCGUGGGCCGGGCGGCGGCAGCGUUGGGCGGCCCGGGGCCGGCGCUAUACAAGCACGCGUCGUUCUUCGACCGCGACGGCGACGGCGUCGUCUCCUUCGCGGAGACGUACGGCGCGUUUCGGGCCCUCGGGUUUGGACUCGGCCUGUCCAGCGCCAGCGCCGCCUUCAUCAAUGGCGCCCUUGGCAGCAAGUGCAGACCUCAAAACGCGACGUCGUCGAAACUGGACAUCUACAUAGAGGACAUCCGGAGAGGGAAGCACGGGAGCGACUCCGGCUCGUACGACGCCCAAGGAAGGUUCGUUCCGGAGAAGUUCGAGGAGAUAUUCGCCAGGCACGCGAGGACGGUCCCCGACGCCCUGACCUCGGACGAGAUCGACCAGCUGCUCCAAGCGAACAGAGAGCCCGGGGACUACAGCGGCUGGGCUGGCGCGGAAGCGGAGUGGAAGAUCCUGUACAGUCUCGGCAAGGACGGGGACGGCCUCCUCCGCAAGGACGUCGCGAGGAGCGUCUACGACGGGACACUGUUCCACCGGCUCGCGCCCAGAUGGAAAUCUCCCGACAGCGACAUGGAGAGAAGCUGAUAAGCGUGGUCCGGGAGAACUGAACCGAGAGGACCGUCCUAUUGAUGUCGUCUUGCGCUGGGCUGCUCUGAACUGAACAAGUCUGGACAUGCCGUCAAGCGACAUGUGGGUGUGAACACUCUUUCGGGUCAGAUUAUUAACAAGAAGGGUGUGACCGUGUGAGUGUGAACAGAAUCGGCCGUAUAGAUGUACAUGAGGCACGGGCCCGUUGACCCGGCCCGAGGCCCGUUUUUUUGGCCCGGUUCGCGCCCGGCCCGGCACGUAUGGGAUGAGCCCGGGCUGGCACGGCCCAGUGGAGCAGGCCGUGCCUGGGCCGCUGGCCAGACACGUGGGCCGGCACGGCACGACCUGCUCCACGCGGACAACCCGGUCGGGGCCCGUAGCCGACGCCGCCCGUGCCCCUUACCUCCUCGCCUCCUCGCCCCAUGGGGCCCACCUCUCAGUCCCUCCGCUCGCGCUCGCACUCGCACCCUGCUCCCUCUCUCUCCCGACUCGGCGGCGAUUGACUUGGCGAUUGGCGAUUCCCCUCCGAUGCCUCCGUCGCGGCGCCGCCCCUGUCCAGCGACCUCGGCUCCCGUCCCCGACGCCGGUGACCUCGAUCCACCAGCUCCUCUCUAACCCCUCUCCCCUCUCUCUCGGUGAACUAUGUGAGUUCGUGUUGUCGUCUCGUCCUCCCCUCCGGCCCUCCCCAGCUCGCCGUCGUCUCUAAUCGGUCUCUGUCUGUCGUGUGUCGUCUGGGUGGCCCCCGUGUUCUCCGGCAUCGGGCUCCGGUAGCACAGGUAAACCCUAACCCUAACCCUAGAUCUUUCGUAAACCCUAACCCUAACUGUAUAAUGUUUUGCUCUUUUGUAGGUCAGUUGCUGAUGCCUCGUCUUCCUCCUCUGGGGUAGAUCGGGCACGGCGACUGCGUGCUCCGUUGAGGGACGGUGCUGGAGAUCGACCGUCCGCGGUGAAGGUCGCCAUGGCGGAUGAUGACGAUGUCAAUCCGGUCACCGGCAACGACGACCUUCACGCGGCAGGGCUUGUCCCAGAUGACGAAGACGACAUCCAGGCUGACGCGGCUGCUUUGCUCGGUAUCGAUCUAACCUCUGCUCCUGUCGAUCUAAGUUCUAAUCCGACCAACGCUGGUGGAGGGCCUGCUACGGCCACCGAUACUCCGGUCGGCUCCACCAGCACCGAUGGUGGUACUGGUACCUCAUCUGUUGGUAAGCG